CAAAUAUUUCCUUAACACGAAGCCAGAUUCAACAGUAAUCAAAAACUCCAAACCCUAAGAUUAAAAAAGACAUCACAUAGUCCAAAAACAAAAAGAAGAAGGAAGAACAGAGGAAGGGAAAGAGAGUUUAAAGAGUAAGAAAAGGCUUAUCUCGAUCGUGUCAGAGGAGACUUCAUCGCCGGACCGGCUCCGAUCAAGUAGUCUUUUU
This 208-nucleotide long non-coding RNA is filed under the name Lathyrus oleraceus (garden pea). Its description in RNAcentral is "Pisum sativum (pea) long non-coding RNA (PSAT_LNC006343)". Lineage: Eukaryota; Viridiplantae; Streptophyta; Magnoliopsida; Fabales; Fabaceae. The record is from RNAcentral.